Molecule: long non-coding RNA, 816 nt
Organism: Oncorhynchus tshawytscha (Chinook salmon)
Lineage: Eukaryota; Metazoa; Chordata; Actinopteri; Salmoniformes; Salmonidae
Source: Ensembl
UUUAUUGUUUUGUUAGUUAUUUCAUGUCUAGUUCCUUUAUUAAAGAACAUGAAUAACCACCACGCUGCAUUUUGGUCCGCUUCUCCUUCACCACAGGAAAACCCUUAUACAUACAUCAGUAUGCAACACCAUUUGUUCAAACAACAUUCUCUCCCAAAUCAAAUCAAAUCAAAUUGUAUUUGUCACAUGCGCCUAAUACAAUUAGGUGUAGACCUUACAGUGAAAUGCUUACUUACAAGCCCUUAACCAAUAAUACCGUUUUUUUUUUUUUUAAGUGUUAAGAAAGUAUUUACUAAAAUAACUGAAUAACAUUUAUUUUUUUUUAUAAAUAAAGAAGCAGCCAAAAACUUACAGUAGCGAGGUUAUAUACUGGAGGUACCGGUACAGAGUAAAUGUGAGGAGGCUAUAUACAGGAGGUACCGGUACAGAGUAAAUGUGAGGAGGCUAUAUACAGGAGGUACCAGUACAGAGUAAAUGUGAGGAGGCUAUAUACAGGAGGUACCGGUACAGAGUAAAUGCGAGGAGGCUAUAUACAAGUGGUACCGGUGCAGAGUAAAUGUGAGGAGGCUAUAUACAGGAGGUACCGGUACAGCACUAUUGGCCCAGCAUCAUCCGUGUUUGGCCGGGGUAGGCCGUCUUUGUAAAUAAGAAUUUGUUCUUAACCGACUUGCCUAGUUAAAUAAAGGUUAAAUAAAUAAACGCAUUAAGAAGGAAAUAAAUUCCACAAAUUAAUUUUUAAGAAGGCACACCUGUUAAUUGAAAUGCAUUCCAGGUGACUACCUCAUGAAGCUGUUUGAGAGAAUGCCAAGAGUGUGC